CAGAAAGUAGUUUAAUUAAAAUUUUAAUUUUGGAGAUUAAAGAUAGGAGAAUUUUUUUUUCUGA
RNAcentral lists this transfer RNA (64 nucleotides) under Trapezodirus sp. 1 EF-2015. Its description in RNAcentral is "tRNA-Pro". The record is from RNAcentral. Lineage: Eukaryota; Metazoa; Arthropoda; Insecta; Coleoptera; Leiodidae.